RNAcentral lists this unclassified non-coding RNA (149 nucleotides) under uncultured Dictyosporiaceae. Its description in RNAcentral is "sequence contains ITS2". The record is from RNAcentral. Lineage: Eukaryota; Fungi; Ascomycota; Dothideomycetes; Pleosporales; Dictyosporiaceae.
AACCCUUCAAGCUCUGCUUGGUGUUGGGCGUUUGUCCGCGAAAUCGUGGACUCGCCCCAAAAACAUUGGCAGCGGUUUGCCAGCCUCUCGCGCAGCACUUUGCGCUCUUGGAGGCUCUGGCGAGCUUGCGUCCAUCAAGAACACUCUUA